This 253-nucleotide ribosomal RNA is filed under the name uncultured bacterium. RNAcentral's name for it is "partial 16S ribosomal RNA". It matches the Rfam family "Bacterial small subunit ribosomal RNA", at positions 524 to 776 of the family's 1533-position model. The record is from RNAcentral.
UACGUAGGUGGCGAGCGUUGUCCGGAAUUACUGGGUGUAAAGGGCGUGCAGGCGGUAGGGCAAGUCAGAUGUGAAAGCCCGCGGCUUAACUGCGGGACUGCAACUGAAACUGUACUACUUGAGUGUUGGAGAGGGAAGCGGAAUUCCCAGUGUAGCGGUGAAAUGCGUAGAUAUUGGGAGGAACACCAGUGGCGAAGGCGGCUUUCUGGACAGCAACUGACGCUGAGGCGCGAAAGCGUGGGGAGCAAACAGG